CCUUUCGUCCUCUUUUUUUCCUCUUUCCCCCUUUUUUCCCCCCUUCUGCAGCGACGCCGCGUGCGCGAAGAAGUAUUUCGAUAUGUAAAGCUCUAUCAGCAGGGAAGAAACUGACGGUACCUGACUAAGAAGCACCGGCUAAAUACGUGCCAGCAGCCGCGGUAAUACGUAUGGUGCAAGCGUUAUCCGGAUUUACUGCGUGUAAAGGGGGCGUAGACGGAUAGGCAAGUCCGGAGUGAAAGCCCGGGGCUCAACCCCGGGACUGCUUUGGAAACUGUUUAUCUAGAGUGCUGGAGAGGUAAGUGGAAUUCCUAGUGUAGCGGUGAAAUGCGUAGAUAUUAGGAGGAACACCAGUGGCGAAGGCGGCUUACUGGACAGUAGCUGACGUUGAGGCUCGAAAGCGUGGGGAGCAAACAGGAUUAGAUACCCUGGUA
RNAcentral lists this ribosomal RNA (434 nucleotides) under uncultured Lachnospiraceae bacterium. Its description in RNAcentral is "partial 16S ribosomal RNA". It matches the Rfam family "Bacterial small subunit ribosomal RNA", at positions 369 to 792 of the family's 1533-position model. Lineage: Bacteria; Bacillati; Bacillota; Clostridia; Lachnospirales; Lachnospiraceae. The record is from RNAcentral.